AAAACCGCGGGUUCGAAGAAGAGACUGAAUUCUUGUAGAAUUGUGUAUAAUAUCCAAAAGCUCUAGAACUCUCCACAGUUAUAUAAUAUUUAAUAGGAUAGUUGGGAAAGUUCUAAAAGAUAGAUCUAGCCCAUCUAUUAAAAUGAAUUAUAACCUUUGGAUCAAAAGGGCUUGCUAAGUAGAGGCUUUCCUUUUUCAUUUAUACACUUAAGCUAACUUUUCUUGAGCAAUAUACUUCCACAUUCUCUCCAACUCUCUCAUUCUUUAAAGUGCUCUCUAUGUGCUUAUUUAGGCUAAGUGUGCGAAAACUUUUCUAAGCAAGAAUUGAAUGAUGACUUUGGCUUGUUGUCAUAGGAACCAGCUUAAGGCCGCACAUGACCAGAACUUUAGUCUCGACCCAUGACACUUGCUUGCGCCUGUAGAUUCACAUGCAUCAAUCAAGUUCUUCUAUUAGCCUGGUUAUUAACUUGUACAUUAAAUUAUAGGUUAGGUCUGAUAUGGAG
This 503-nucleotide long non-coding RNA is filed under the name Gossypium barbadense (sea-island cotton). RNAcentral describes it as "long non-coding RNA (GBAR_LNC011672)". The record is from RNAcentral. Lineage: Eukaryota; Viridiplantae; Streptophyta; Magnoliopsida; Malvales; Malvaceae.